CCUACGGGUGGCUGCAGUGAGGAAUAUUGCGCAAUGGGGGAAACCCUGACGCAGCGACGCCGCGUGGGCGACGAAGGCCUUCGGGUCGUAAAGCCCUUUUGGCAGGGACGAGUGAGGACGGUACCUGCCGAAUAAGUCUCGGCUAACUACGUGCCAGCAGCCGCGGUAAAACGUAGGAGGCGAGCGUUAUCCGGAUUCACUGGGCGUAAAGCGCGCGUAGGCGGUUUGUUAAGUCGGACGUGAAAGCCCCUGGCUCAACUGGGGGAGGCCGUUCGAUACUGGCAGGCUUGAGGGUGAGAGAGGAGAGUGGAAUUCCCGGUGUAGCGGUGGAAUGCGUAGAGAUCGGGAGGAACACCAGUGGCGAAGGCGACUCUCUGGCUCACUCCUGACGCUGAGAGCGCGAAAGCGUGGGGAGCAAACGGGAUUAGAUACCCGAGUAGUC
Molecule: ribosomal RNA, 442 nt
Filed under: uncultured bacterium
Lineage: Bacteria
Description: bacterial SSU rRNA
Rfam family: Bacterial small subunit ribosomal RNA
Source: RNAcentral